AUACGGAGGAUCCGAGCGUUAUCCGGAUUUAUUGGGUUUAAAGGGUGCGCAGGCGGCCAUUUAAGUCAGCGGUUAAAUCGUGGGGCUCAACCCCAUUCUGCCGUUGAUACUGGGUGGCUUGAUUGCGGUCGAGGUUGGCGGAAUUCGUUGUGUAGCGGUGAAAUGCAUAGAUAUGACGAAGAACACCGAUUGCGUAGGCAGCUGACCAGAUCGCAAAUGACGCUCAUGCACGAAAGUGCGGGGAUCGAACAGGAUUAGAUACCCUGGUAGUCCGCACAGUAAACGAUGAAUACUUGUUUUCGGUGAUAUAAUGUCGGAGGCAAAGCGAAAGCGAUAAGUAUUCCACCUGGGGAGUACGCCGGCAACGGUGAAACUCAAAGGAAUUGACGGGG
This 392-nucleotide ribosomal RNA is filed under the name uncultured bacterium. RNAcentral describes it as "partial 16S ribosomal RNA". It matches the Rfam family "Bacterial small subunit ribosomal RNA", at positions 523 to 918 of the family's 1533-position model. The record is from RNAcentral.